RNAcentral lists this small RNA (83 nucleotides) under Marmota monax (woodchuck). The record is from RNAcentral. Lineage: Eukaryota; Metazoa; Chordata; Mammalia; Rodentia; Sciuridae.
GCUGGGUGUAGUGGAGUAUGCCUGUAAUCCCAGCAGCUCAGGAGGCUGAGGCAGGAAGAUCUUGAGUUCAAAGCCAGCCUCAG